This 460-nucleotide ribosomal RNA is filed under the name uncultured bacterium. Its description in RNAcentral is "partial 16S ribosomal RNA". It matches the Rfam family "Bacterial small subunit ribosomal RNA", at positions 338 to 795 of the family's 1533-position model. The record is from RNAcentral.
CCUACGGGUGGCAGCAGUGAGGAAUAUUGGUCAAUGGGCGCAAGCCUGAACCAGCCACGUAGCGUGAAGGAUGACUGCCCUACGGGUUGUAAACUUCUUUUAUAAAGGAAUAAAGUGAGGCACGUGUGCCUUUUUGUAUGUACUUUAUGAAUAAGGCUCGGCUAACUCCGUGCCAGCAGCCGCGGUAAUACGGAGGAUCCGAGCGUUAUCCGGAUUUAUUGGGUGUAAAGGGAGCGUAGAUGGGUUGGUAAGUCAGUUGUGAAAGUUUGCGGCUCAACCGUAAAAUUGCAAUUGAUACUGGCAGCCUUGAGUACAGUUGAGGUAGGCGGAAUUCGUGGUGUAGCGGUGAAAUGCGUAGAUAUCACGAAGAACUCCGAUUGCGAAGGCAGACUACUAAACUGCCACUGACAUUGAGGCUCGAAAGUGUGGGUAGCAAACAGGAUUAGAUACCCGAGUAGUC